Molecule: unclassified non-coding RNA, 311 nt
Filed under: fungal sp.
Lineage: Eukaryota; Fungi
Description: partial internal transcribed spacer region
Source: RNAcentral
AAGUCGUAACAAGGUUUGGAUACAGAAAUGACUACCUUCCACAAGGUUCAUUUGCUGAAGCCUUAGCAGCCGCUUGAAUAGAGCGGUGCCCAGAGCGACUUAUUGCAAAUAAAUAAUUACUGGAGAUUAAAUGCUAGUAGAGGAACGAUUGUGACAGAUCGAUCUUCACGCAACACUGCUUAAUUGCUGGAAAUUCCUAAAGCCGACUCGUACCAAGUCUCUUGCUAUGGUUAAUAUAUCCCGUAGGAAGUGAUGGCCGCUGUAUCUAUUCAACACGAAUGGAUGUAGCGGGGAUGGAUAUCUUGGUUCUC